Molecule: ribosomal RNA, 297 nt
Filed under: uncultured bacterium
Lineage: Bacteria
Description: partial 16S ribosomal RNA
Rfam family: Bacterial small subunit ribosomal RNA
Source: RNAcentral
AACGAACGCUGGCGGCAGGCCUAACACAUGCAAGUCGAACGCUCGUAGCAAUACGGGAGUGGCAGACGGGUGAGUAACACGUGGGAACCUUUCCUAUGGUUCGGAAUAGCUCAGGGAAACUUGGGGUAAAUACCGGAUAAGCCCUUCGGGGGAAAGAUUUAUCGCCAUUGGAUGGGCCCGCGGUCGGAGUUAGCUAGUUGGUGAGGUAACGGCUCACCAAGGCAACGAUCCGUAGCUGGUCUGAGAGCAUGAUCAGCCACACUGGGACUGAGACACGGCCCAGACUCCUACGGGAGG